Molecule: ribosomal RNA, 477 nt
Filed under: uncultured bacterium
Lineage: Bacteria
Description: partial 16S ribosomal RNA
Rfam family: Bacterial small subunit ribosomal RNA
Source: RNAcentral
GAUAAACGCUGGCGGCGUGCAUAACACAUGCAAGUCGAACGAUGAAGAUUAAAAGAUUUCUUCGGAAUGAACUUAAUUGGAUUAGUGGCGGACGAGUGAGUAACGCGUGAGUAACCUGCCUUGUACAAGGGGAUAGCCGUUGGAAACGACGAAUAAUACCCUAUGACAUCAAAUAAUCGCAUGAUAAUUUGAUCAAAGAUUUAUCGGUAUAAGAUGGACUCGCGUCUGAUUAGCUAGUUGGUAGAGUAAAAGCCUACCAAGGCAACGAUCAGUAGCCGGCUUGAGAGAGUGUACGGCCACAUUGGGACUGAGACACGGCCCAGACUCCUACGGGAGGCAGCAGUGGGGAAUUUUGCACAAUGGGGGAAACCCUGAUGCAGCGACGCCGCGUGAUUUAGAAGGCCUUCGGGUUGUAAAAAUCUUUUGUAUGGGAAGAAAAUGACAGUACCAUACGAAUAAGGACCGGCUAAUUACGUG